AUUGAACGCUGGCGGCAUGCCUUACACAUGCAAGUCGAGCGGCAGCGCGGGGGCAACCCUGGCGGCGAGCGGCGGACGGGUGAGUAAUGCAUCGGAACGUGUCCUCUUGUGGGGGAUAACCAGUCGAAAGAUUGGCUAAUACCGCAUGAGCUCGCAAGAGGAAAGCAGGGGACCCGCAAGGGCCUUGCGCGAGAGGAGCGGCCGAUGCCCGAUUAGCUAGUUGGUGGGGUAAUAGCCCACCAAGGCGACGAUCGGUAGCUGGUCUGAGAGGACGACCAGCCACACUGGGACUGAGACACGGCCCAGACUCCUACGGGAGGCAGCAGUGGGGAAUUUUGGACAAUGGGGAAACCCUGAUCCAGCCGUGCCGCGUGUGUGAAGAAGGCCU
Molecule: ribosomal RNA, 388 nt
Filed under: uncultured bacterium
Lineage: Bacteria
Description: bacterial SSU rRNA
Rfam family: Bacterial small subunit ribosomal RNA
Source: RNAcentral